GCCAGGUGAAGUGGCUCAUACCUGUAAUCCCAUCAGCAAGGGAGGCUGAGGCAAGGGGAUCUCUUGAGUUCAAAGCCAGCCUCGGCAAAAGUAAGGCACUAAGCAACUCAGUGAGACCUUGUCUCUA
Molecule: small RNA, 127 nt
Filed under: Marmota monax (woodchuck)
Lineage: Eukaryota; Metazoa; Chordata; Mammalia; Rodentia; Sciuridae
Source: RNAcentral